UCGCGCUAGACGGGGAGUUAGCGGUGCCCCUGAACCCGAAAUCCGCUUAUGCGGGGUUGAAGAUCCUUCUGGCGAGCCCUGAUUCAAGAUGCGUUUCAACACUUUGGGGUUGAUAUGGACCUCACGUAACAGGCACUUAUAAACCCCGUCAGAUCCGGAAGGAAGCAGCGGUAAGUAAGAAAGCCUGUGUCGUCGAGUGAAUCUAUAUGGUUUCCCCGGGUGGAGAAGUCAUGUUGUUCAGGUUUCAAAAAAGGAUGCGCGG
RNAcentral lists this signal recognition particle RNA (262 nucleotides) under Desulfobacteraceae bacterium 4572_87. RNAcentral describes it as "signal recognition particle sRNA large type". It matches the Rfam family "Bacterial large signal recognition particle RNA". Rfam says of the family: The signal recognition particle (SRP) is a universally conserved ribonucleoprotein involved in the co-translational targeting of proteins to membranes. Archaeal SRP consists of a 7S RNA and homologues of the eukaryotic SRP19 and SRP54 proteins. In most bacteria, the SRP consists of a 4.5S RNA and the Ffh protein (a homologue of the eukaryotic SRP54 protein). The record is from RNAcentral. Lineage: Bacteria; Pseudomonadati; Thermodesulfobacteriota; Desulfobacteria; Desulfobacterales; Desulfobacteraceae.